CUGCUACUCCCUCCGAUCCAUAUUACUUCUCGCUCAAGCGGAUGUAUCUAGACGUAUUUCAGUGCUAGAUACAUCCGUUUGAGCGACAAGUAAUAUGGAUCGGAGGGAGUAUUAU
Molecule: non-coding RNA, 115 nt
Organism: Hordeum vulgare subsp. vulgare (domesticated barley)
Lineage: Eukaryota; Viridiplantae; Streptophyta; Magnoliopsida; Poales; Poaceae
Source: Rfam